CCUACGGGAGGCAGCAGUGGGGAAUUUUGGACAAUGGGGGAAACCCUGAUCCAGCCAUCCCGCGUGAGUGAAGAAGGCCUUCGGGUUGUAAAGCUCUUUCGGCAGGAACGAAACGGCGGACUCUAACAUAGUCUGUCAAUGACGGUACCUGAAGAAGAAGCACCGGCUAACUACGUGCCAGCAGCCGCGGUAAGACGUAGGAGGCAAGCGUUGUCCGGAAUUAUUGGGCGUAAAGCGCCCGUAGGCGGGGGGGAAAGUCGGGGGUGAAAUCCCCCGACCCAAUCGGGGACCCGCGCCCGAUACUCCACUCCUGGAGGGAAGCAGAGGAAGGCGGAAUUCCCGGUGUAGCGGUGAAAUGCGUAGAUACCGGGAGGAACACCGUUGGCGAGGGCGGCCUUCUGGGCUUCUCCUGACGCUGAGGGGCGAAAGCCUGGGG
This 436-nucleotide ribosomal RNA is filed under the name uncultured bacterium. RNAcentral describes it as "partial 16S ribosomal RNA". It matches the Rfam family "Bacterial small subunit ribosomal RNA", at positions 338 to 766 of the family's 1533-position model. The record is from RNAcentral.